Lagopus leucura (white-tailed ptarmigan) is the source of this 594-nucleotide long non-coding RNA. RefSeq lists it as uncharacterized. The record is from RefSeq and is a predicted model, not a curated record. NCBI's taxonomy places the organism in Eukaryota, Metazoa, Chordata, Aves, Galliformes, Phasianidae. The transcript has 4 exons.
GUUCCUGCUGCCUUGGAAGCAUUCAGGAGGUCCCAGCAAGAAGUCGCACUGUAUUUUUCUCCAUUGCUCCCUGUGGAGUUCAUGUGUUCAGCCUUCUUUCUAAUGAUGGCAAUAAGCAGCUGUCAGCUAUUAUCUGAUGAUGUGAGGUGCUGAUAGGAGAAAUAAACUCAUCGCUCUUACUGGUGCCAAAUUUUCUAAAGCAGAACAUCCUCCACUCUGCUUUGAGUGCAGUCUGUUGCAACGAUUCUUCUGGAGCUACAUGCAAGAUUGCAGUGUAUCAGAAGUUAUCAACUGAUGAGCAACAUGACUUAUCAACACUAUAGUGGUUGUGCUUUGACAGUGCUUCUUCACAGAUCUGCCUGUUUGUGUUAUAGAAGUUUCGGUCUUCCAGUUGGAGAGGAGUGACACAGAUAUUUAAGACACACGCAGCUUAGAUGUAGCACAUUGUGAGUACAAAUGAUUACUUUGAAAAUGUCUAAAACUCUGUGAAAAAUUGUAGCCAGCCAAAAAGCAUGCAUGGAAUUGGGCUUGCAUGUUUACUCUGAUUUUCAAUGGUCAAUGAGAGAAAGAAGGAAAAAUUCUAGUGAAUGUUGU